This 489-nucleotide ribosomal RNA is filed under the name uncultured bacterium. RNAcentral describes it as "partial 16S ribosomal RNA". It matches the Rfam family "Bacterial small subunit ribosomal RNA", at positions 30 to 507 of the family's 1533-position model. The record is from RNAcentral.
UUGAACGCUGGCGGCAGGCCUAACACAUGCAAGUCGAACGGUAACAGGAAGAAGCUUGCUUCUUUGCUGACGAGUGGCGGACGGGUGAGUAAUAUCUGGUAAACUGCCUGAUGGAGGGGGAUAACUACUGGAAACGGUAGCUAAUACCGCAUAAUGUCGCAAGACCAAAGAGGGGGACCUUCGGGCCUCUUGCCAUCGUAUGUGCCCAGAUGGGAUUAGCUAGUAGGUGGGGUAACGGCUCACCUAGGCGACGAUCCCUAGCUGGUCUGAGAGGAUGACCAGCCACACUGGAACUGAGACACGGUCCAGACUCCUACGGGAGGCAGCAGUGGGGAAUAUUACACAAUGGGCGCAAGCCUGAUGCAGCUAUGCCGCGUGUAUGAAGAAGGCCUUCGGGUUGUAAAGUACUUUCAGCGGGGAGGAAGGGAGUAAAGUUAAUACCUUUGCUCAUUGACGUUACCCGCAGAAGAAGCACCGGCUAACUCCGUG